GCCGAGGCGCGCUGUCCGGGUGGUGGGAGCUCAACCCGCGACCGCGGCUACGAUUCUCUUGGCUCCUGCCCUCGCCUUAGUCGCUCUGCGGGGUUGGUUCGGUCCCGGCACUUCCAGAGGCCUCAGGGUCCUGGUCUUGUAGAGACUUCCUGAACGGUGGCGCCUGUUCCAGUGUGUGUGCGCUAACUGCCUGUUCUGUGCCAGCCGCGCGUGGCCGAAGGGCGGGAGGACGGGGGUUGUGGAGGGGAGGAUGGAGGUUGGGGAGACAGGGCGGGGACGAGAUAAGAGGUCGGGGGGUGGGGAGGAUGGUCGCGGGGCGGUCUGGGGCUGGAGACAAGGGGCCUGAGGUGCGGGUACGCACUGAACAUUCCAACCGUCCCCAGCCGGCCGGGUUUCAGGUUUGAAAAGGUGGGAAGGUUAGCUGUCCUGGCGCUUUUCCUCCACGUGUUGUGCGGCUCCGCUGGAGUUCGGGUCCAGCACCUUCUACUCCGAGGGAGAGAGCCGCGGGGAGAGCCCUGUUCGGGCCCGCGGCUCGAACUGACCGCCGGCUCUGCCGAGCAGCCUCGACCCCAGGGCACCCCCGGGAGAGAGGGCGCGGCUCAGGUCCCUGCCCGAACCCCUGGGGUGCUGAGAGACUCCCCAGCGCCCCGCGUGGGCUCCCGGCCUCUCCACAGUUGAGGAUCCUGUAAGGGGCGAGCCCUUUUUCCCAUAAUGGCUGUAGUGAGUGGGUGUGCUUUCCCGAUUGACCCGCUGUGAGGUGAGCGAUUUUAACCCACAUCCUUACUGACUUCACAGCACAGUAGGUGCUUCGUGGCUGUCCGGUGCAAGGAUGUAUAUACACACACACCUUUGCAAAAAAAGUUUGCAUCUCUUGCCUGGCUGUUUGUUGCAAUAAUCUAUCAUUUGUCUUUUCCUUUCCAGCAUUGCAGAUGAUCCCUUGAAAAGAAGUCUGAUCACAUUCACACUCUGCUCCGCCCAUUUCACUCAGUAAAGCUGAAGUCCUGCAGUGCUUUGCUCUGCCUCCGGUCACCCCGCCAUACUCCCAGACCCUCCCUCCCUCUCACUCCACUCCAGCUGCCCUGGCCUGGUUCAGAGUCCCUGACUCUUCCCUCCCCGGAAACACUUUCUGGCGGCUCUUGUCCCCGACUCUUCCCACCUGCUCUUUCAGUCUUUGCUCAAAUGUUGCCUCUUCAGUGUGGCCUAGGCCGUCACCACCCGGCCUUCACCGCAUACCUUUUUCUCUGCAACACCUACUCAACACACCGUACUAUAGAACUUACUGGCAUGCUAUAAAUGUAUUACCCUUAUCUGUUGCCUCUAACCAAAAGCGUGUUCCAUGAGAGCCAUGGGUCCCUGCCUACUUCUGUCUUGUUUCUGGGGCAGCCUCUGUACCUGGACAUCGUAUACUCUUAACACGGAUUUGUCAAAUCAAAUGAAAUUUAACAAUACAAACUUCACAAGUAUGCAUAGUGUAGGAAAAUUCCCCAAAAUUCAAAAUUUCAGUCUACCUCCAUCUUUUCAAAUGACCACAGUGCUUUAUAAAAUGACAUGGUCCUUUGAGACUGUUUCAGAGAGUAAUUUGUGCAAAUGCAAUGUGCAAAAAGUCACAGUGGAGGUGUUUCCUCCCCCAUUCAAGAGCUGCUCUCUCUCUAAUCAGACAGCACCCCACACCCCAAGGCAGUCUGUCCAGUGCUCCUAAAGGAGAGCAGCUCCCCUUUUCCAGUUAUGGGAGAUGUGGGCAAUAAAGCAUUACUGUCAAUGCCGUGAUGUUCACUGCAACAUAUGCUUGAUGUUUUCAUAAUUUUAUCCAUCUUUUUCAGACAUCUUACUGCAGAACACUGUAUGUUUUCCAAUUAUUAUUUUUCAGAAAUGUGGUUUACAGCUUCUAUCAGGAUUAGCUUCAGCUUCAAGUGACAAAAGUCACUUGAAAUAUGAGUUGCUGAAACAAGAUGGCAGUCUCUCCCCUCAACAGGACUGUUACAACACCUUAUCUUCAGAGAACCAGGCUCUCUGCAACAUUUCAGGGACGUCGUUCAGUACCUUAUGUGGAAUUCAAGCUUAGCUGGGCAUCCUAUGUUUUAACUGGCUAACUCGUGGAACUCUCAACUUGGAUCAAGUGGUAGUGGAGUCCCAGGGACUCUGAGCAGCCAGUGUGUGAUACUGCAGGGCAGCACACCCUGGGGAGGCCAACUGUACAGAAUAAAAUUAAUGCUUUC
RNAcentral lists this long non-coding RNA (2216 nucleotides) under Homo sapiens (human). RNAcentral's name for it is "HSALNT0404563". Lineage: Eukaryota; Metazoa; Chordata; Mammalia; Primates; Hominidae. The record is from RNAcentral.